ACAAGUAUCUUUACAACAAUCCAGAGGUAACACAAUCUCAUUCGUGAUUUCAAUGGUAAAGUUGGAGAUGGUUAGUUUUUGGGAAAGCAUCUGUUUUGUCAUAGAGAAAGCAUUUGUUUAAAUGGGUUGAUGAAGCAUACUGAGAAGAUAUUAACGUGGUCAAAGAGACUGUUGAUGAUUUGAAGAAACAAGUGAUGGAUAUGGUUAAGAAGAAGAUGAAUGAGAAGAUUGACAAGUCAGCUUUGAAGACCAUUGGUUUUGUUGUUGUAAUGAUCUUAAUGGUCUGGUUUUGGGGAAGGAUUUAGGUCUUCCUUUGUUCAUGUUUUAGAUUAAAUCGUGUUGUUUAUGUGACUGACUUGUUGGUGUCUAUGUGAUUUAUAUGCUGUAACAAUUCCGAUGUCAAUGAAAUUUAAAUGGUCCGAACAAACUAAACAUGCAACAAAACAUGAAAAAAAUAAAAACCUGCAACUAAACUUGAAAAUUCUUCAAACCUGCAACUAAACUUGAAAAAUAUAAAAACCUGCAACUAAAAAUAGCAUUUGAACCUGCGAACACUCACUUAAAACCUGUAGCUAAAAAAAUAAACAUCUAAUAGCAUUUAAUCCUGCAUUUUAUAAACUUGAUAGAAUUUGAAUCCAAAAA
This 642-nucleotide long non-coding RNA is filed under the name Capsella rubella. RNAcentral's name for it is "long non-coding RNA (CRUB_LNC003154)". The record is from RNAcentral. Lineage: Eukaryota; Viridiplantae; Streptophyta; Magnoliopsida; Brassicales; Brassicaceae.